AUUCCCAAACCACAUCCAAACUUAUUUAAGUUUUUUUUUUUUUUUUUAACGGCAGUCCACACCAACACGCAACGGAGCUCUGACUCUGACAACACAACACUUGAUACUAUUAGCAGCAAGCAGCGGCAACUAACUGCGUUCUCCUCUCUCACGUUUCCUUCCUUCCUUCCUUCCUUCAAGGUACACUUACUUCUUCACCUUUUCUAGUUCUCCUUAGGAAUAAAUAAUUGUUUAGGACUUUAUUAUUUUAUAUUCAAUUGAAUUGAUUUGAUUUUUGUUUUACUUUUUGCUGUAAAGAACUGAUAUUACUGCUUGCUAUGCUGCUAUGUUCACUGUUUUGGAAAUUGUCAACACUUUGAACAUCGAGACAUCUUUUGUAUGUUGUUGGGUGUAAGAAUACUGACCUUUGUACGUUUUGUAUUUCUGGGAUUGUUAUUUGCUUUCGUCUGCUACCAGAUGGCAGCGUCGUCGGCAUGCCUUGUAGGAAAUGGUUUAUCGACCAGUAAUGCCAAACGGAAUUUGACGAAGGAGUUCUGUGGCAGUCAUCUUUUUGUUUCUACCAGUGUUCCGUUAUGUAAGACUUCAAGAAUUUUAACUGU
This 599-nucleotide long non-coding RNA is filed under the name Populus tremula. Its description in RNAcentral is "long non-coding RNA (PTRE_LNC000974)". The record is from RNAcentral. Lineage: Eukaryota; Viridiplantae; Streptophyta; Magnoliopsida; Malpighiales; Salicaceae.